RNAcentral lists this long non-coding RNA (412 nucleotides) under Rattus norvegicus (Norway rat). RNAcentral's name for it is "long non-coding RNA NONRATT008159". The record is from RNAcentral. Lineage: Eukaryota; Metazoa; Chordata; Mammalia; Rodentia; Muridae.
CCCUGGAGAAAACAGACCUGGAGUCAGUUGAGAGGACAUUGAGCUGUUCAGGCUGGGCCCCCCAUCUUAGACUACGUUCUGCCACUCCUAAGCAGCUGUGAGCAUUCCUCAAGCCUUUCACCCUGAGGAUGGAAUGUAGUCUAGGACCUCUCCAUUUCGUCUGCCCAAGUGGCUAACAAUGGGCCUUUACAUCUGCUGACUCUUCAAAUGAAAAACGUUCUACCUCCUGCCCAGAACAGUAGAAGGAAGGCACCAUUCUUCAUUUUGAUUGGGUGGACCUGAUCUAAUUUCCUUGAACAGCAGAGACCUUAUUUCAAGUGACCUAAGUCCUUAUGUAUCUCUUUUAGAAAAUCCAGUAGUUUUAUUUGUAUUCCUAAGGUCAAAGCAGUUUGGAGAAUAUUUACAGUUGAUG